AUAAAGGGCACAAUUGAUUAUUUAUUUAUACGGUCGGGGCUCUAUGGCUGUUGCUCUGCUUCAUCCUUUUUUUUGAUGUUUAUAAGUAUUACACCAUUUUCAAGCGUUACUUAUCGAGGUGGGAUCGAUCUUGUUAAUUGGUUUUGUCCAUUUACUGCAGUUGGAAUAUAUUGUCAAUGCUUCUGCAAUUCUCCCUCUUUUUGGGUCCUGUUCUCUUUGUAAUAUCUUACUUCCACACCAGUCUAUGUCUAAGUUUGUUGUACUCGCUCGUUGUACUAAGGCCACAGUCAUCUUUUUGUAAGCCAUAUCAUUCUUGUGUUCUUGUAAUCGCUUUCUUGAUAACCGGGAUGUGUAACCUAUAUAAUUUUCAUUCGUAUCUGUCUUGUUGUCGUAGAACAGAAUUUGAUAUAUUCCGGGGUAAUAAUCGUCUUUAAUCCUGUCCUUUCAUUUGUAAUGCAGUUGAAUAGUGUGUUUCUUCUAUUGAAUAGGAUUUUAUAACCUGAAAAUUCUUUC
RNAcentral lists this long non-coding RNA (513 nucleotides) under Androctonus crassicauda. The record is from RNAcentral. Lineage: Eukaryota; Metazoa; Arthropoda; Arachnida; Scorpiones; Buthidae.